Molecule: transfer RNA, 86 nt
Filed under: Bacillus sp. M6-12
Lineage: Bacteria; Bacillati; Bacillota; Bacilli; Caryophanales; Bacillaceae
Description: tRNA-Tyr
Rfam family: tRNA
About the family: Transfer RNA (tRNA) molecules are approximately 80 nucleotides in length. Their secondary structure includes four short double-helical elements and three loops (D, anti-codon, and T loops).
Source: RNAcentral
GGAGAGGUAGCGAAGUGGUUAAACGCAACAGACUGUAAAUCUGUCACCGUAAGGUUUCGGGGGUUCAAAUCCCUCUCUCUCCACCA